UGAAAGUCUUACCACGCAUAUG
RNAcentral lists this non-coding RNA (22 nucleotides) under Arabidopsis thaliana (thale cress). The record is from RNAcentral. Lineage: Eukaryota; Viridiplantae; Streptophyta; Magnoliopsida; Brassicales; Brassicaceae.